RNAcentral lists this ribosomal RNA (253 nucleotides) under uncultured bacterium. Its description in RNAcentral is "partial 16S ribosomal RNA". It matches the Rfam family "Bacterial small subunit ribosomal RNA", at positions 524 to 776 of the family's 1533-position model. The record is from RNAcentral.
UACGUAGGUGGCAAGCGUUGUCUGGAAUUACUGGGUGUAAAGGGAGCGCAGGCGGGAAGCCAAGUCAGCUGUGAAAACUACGGGCUUAACUUGUAGACUGCAGUUGAAACUGGUUUUCUUGAGUGAAGUAGAGGUUGGCGGAAUUCCGAGUGUAGCGGUGAAAUGCGUAGAUAUUCGGAGGAACACCGGUGGCGAAGGCGGCCAACUGGGCUUUAACUGACGCUGAGGCUCGAAAGUGUGGGGAGCAAACAGG